Molecule: ribosomal RNA, 1061 nt
Filed under: uncultured Oryzihumus sp.
Lineage: Bacteria; Bacillati; Actinomycetota; Actinomycetes; Micrococcales; Intrasporangiaceae
Description: bacterial SSU rRNA
Rfam family: Bacterial small subunit ribosomal RNA
Source: RNAcentral
AUUCCUACGGGAGGCAGCAGUGGGGAAUAUUGCACAAUGGGCGCAAGCCUGAUGCAGCGACGCCGCGUGAGGGAUGAAGGCCUUCGGGUUGUAAACCUCUUUCAGCAGGGAAGAAGUGCCUGGGUUUUCUUGGGUGUGACGGUACCUGCAGAAGAAGCACCGGCUAACUACGUGCCAGCAGCCGCGGUAAUACGUAGGGUGCAAGCGUUGUCCGGAAUUAUUGGGCGUAAAGAGCUUGUAGGCGGUUUGUCGCGUCUGCUGUGAAAUUUCGGGGCUCAACCCCGAACUUGCAGUGGGUACGGGCAGACUAGAGUGUGGUAGGGGAGACUGGAAUUCCUGGUGUAGCGGUGAAAUGCGCAGAUAUCAGGAGGAACACCGAUGGCGAAGGCAGGUCUCUGGGCCACUACUGACGCUGAGAAGCGAAAGCAUGGGGAGCGAACAGGAUUAGAUACCCUGGUAGUCCAUGCCGUAAACGGUGGGAACUAGGUGUGGGCCUCAUUCCACGAGGUCCGUGCCGCAGCUAACGCAUUAAGUUCCCCGCCUGGGGAGUACGGCCGCAAGGCUAAAACUCAAAGGAAUUGACGGGGGCCCGCACAAGCGGCGGAGCAUGCGGAUUAAUUCGAUGCAACGCGAAGAACCUUACCAAGGUUUGACAUGUGCCGGAAAAGUGCAGAGAUGUGCUUUUUGUAAGGUCGGUACACAGGUGGUGCAUGGUUGUCGUCAGCUCGUGUCGUGAGAUGUUGGGUUAAGUCCCGCAACGAGCGCAAUCCUUGUUCUAUGUUGCCAGCACGUGAUGGUGGGGACUCAUAGGAGACUGUUGGGGUCAACUCGGAGGAAGGUGGGGAUGACGUCAAAUCAUCAUGCUUUUUAUGUCUUGGGCUUCACGCAUGCUACAAUGGCCAGUACAAAGGGCUGCGAUACCGCAAGGUGGAGCGAAUCCCAAAAAACUGGUCUCAGUUCGGAUUGGGGUCUGCAACUCGAUUCUAUGAAGUCGGAGUCGUUAGUAAUCGCAGAUCAGCAACGUUGCGGUGAAUACGUUCCCGGGCCUUGUACACACCGCC